AAGAUUUUAAGUUAUUAGUAAACUUUUAACCUUCAAAGUUAACUAAACUUAGUCAAAGAGUAAAUCUUA
RNAcentral lists this transfer RNA (69 nucleotides) under Seriana bacilla. RNAcentral describes it as "tRNA-Trp". Lineage: Eukaryota; Metazoa; Arthropoda; Insecta; Hemiptera; Cicadellidae. RNAcentral also lists the same sequence under 1 other name. The record is from RNAcentral.